UACGGAGGGUGCAAGCGUUAUCCGGAUUCACUGGGUUUAAAGGGUGCGUAGGCGGACAAGUAAGUCAGUGGUGAAAUCUCCGAGCUUAACUCGGAAACUGCCUUUGAUACUCUCUGUCUUGAAUAUGGUGGAGGUAAGCGGAAUAUGUCAUGUAGCGGUGAAAUGCUUAGAGAUGACAUAGAACACCUAUUGCGAAGGCAGCUUACUACGCCUAUAUUGACGCUGAGGCACGAAAGCGUGGGGAUCAAACAGG
RNAcentral lists this ribosomal RNA (253 nucleotides) under uncultured bacterium. RNAcentral describes it as "partial 16S ribosomal RNA". It matches the Rfam family "Bacterial small subunit ribosomal RNA", at positions 524 to 776 of the family's 1533-position model. The record is from RNAcentral.